Molecule: ribosomal RNA, 119 nt
Filed under: Sinocyclocheilus anshuiensis
Lineage: Eukaryota; Metazoa; Chordata; Actinopteri; Cypriniformes; Cyprinidae
Source: RNAcentral
GCUUACGGCCAUACCACCCUGUCUGCGCCUGAGCUCGUCUGAUCUCAGAAGCUAAGCAGGGUCGGGCCUGGUUAGUACUUGGGUGGGAGACAGCAUGGGAAUACCAGGUGCUGUAAGAU